AGACUGGUAGCUCAGUGGAUAGAACACCAUAGUACUACUACUGGAGGUUGCAGGUUCAAUCUCUAUUUAGUCCA
Non-coding RNA from Phlebopus sp. FC_14, 74 nucleotides. Lineage: Eukaryota; Fungi; Basidiomycota; Agaricomycetes; Boletales; Boletinellaceae. The record is from the annotation of a GenBank genome assembly.